RNAcentral lists this ribosomal RNA (253 nucleotides) under uncultured bacterium. RNAcentral's name for it is "partial 16S ribosomal RNA". It matches the Rfam family "Bacterial small subunit ribosomal RNA", at positions 524 to 776 of the family's 1533-position model. The record is from RNAcentral.
UACGUAGGUGGCAAGCGUUGUCCGGAUUUACUGGGCGUAAAGCGUGCGUAGGUGGUUCGUUAAGUCUGAUGUGAAAGCCCUGGGCUCAACCUGGGAAUGGCAUUGGAUACUGGCGACCUAGAGUGCGGUAGAGGGGUGUGGAAUUCCCGGUGUAGCAGUGAAAUGCGUAGAUAUCGGGAGGAACAUCUGUGGCGAAGGCGACACCCUGGACCAGCACUGACACUGAGGCACGAAAGCGUGGGGAGCAAACAGG